This 365-nucleotide ribosomal RNA is filed under the name Elliptochloris marina. RNAcentral's name for it is "eukaryotic LSU rRNA". It matches the Rfam family "Eukaryotic large subunit ribosomal RNA", at positions 1 to 365 of the family's 3401-position model. The record is from RNAcentral. Lineage: Eukaryota; Viridiplantae; Chlorophyta; Trebouxiophyceae.
CGACCUGAGUUCAGGCAAGAGCACCCGCUGAAUUUAAGCAUAUCAAUAAGCGGAGGAAAAGAAACUAACCAGGAUUCCCCUAGUAGCGGCGAGCGAACCGGGAAGAGCCCAACAUGGAAAUCUCCUUGCUCCGCAAGGCGAAUUGUAGACUAGAGAGGCGACCUCUGCGGCUGGCCGGGCCCAAGUUCCCUGGAAAGGGGCGUCAGAGAGGGUGAGAACCCCGUAGGCACGGCUUCCGUCGCUCCACGAGGCGCUUUCGCUGAGUCGGGUUGUUUGGGAAUGCAGCCCAAAGCAGGUGGUAAAUCUCAUCUAAGGCUAAAUACCGACGGGAGACCGAUAGCGAGCAAGUACCGUGAGGGAAAGAU